UCGAAACGAUAUUCAUGCAAAUGGUGAGUAGACCGGAAACUUAUCUUUCCCAUUACUUCAUGAUUAGAACGUACUUGUGUACUAAUCGCUUGUUGUACAUACUGCAAACACCGAAAGUUAGCCUUGUUAACAAACCAAAUAGGGUAGUAUGUCACAAUUAAUAGGCUGCUAUAGUGUGCUUAUCUAAUCGAUUCGACGAGCAAGAUCAAUAGAUAUAGAAAAGGUAACUACCUACUCUAAAAUUUUUCACGUCAUUAAGUGAUAGCACAGAGUCAACUUGUAUAAUAGUUAUACAUAGUGGUGGAUCUAGCCAACAAGCUUAAAGUGGUUUAAACAAGUUAGAUAGAGUUUCACCCCCUUUCAUUGAUCUUUACCAUAAAUUUUAGGAGAGUCUUCGUUAGGACUCCAAUAGCUUUAACAAGGGAAACGGGGGCUUGAGUCUCCCGCCGCCCUAUGAUAGAUCCACCAUUGGUUAUAUAUUUUAUAUAACUAUAUCAUUAUAUAUGGUCCAUCUCUUAUACACAUAUAUUGUCUUGGAGCCUACGCUACAUUAGAUGUAAAUCUAUAGCCCGUUUUUAUUAUCUUCCAUUUUCUCUCUUCUCCACAUAAUCAUAAAUACAAAGGCAUGUUCAAAGGUAAAGUCUUUUACUAUUGACUUUUAUUUGAUUCAUGUUAGCAACAAUAAUCUAUUCUAUGAUGAUAUAUAUAAAGGUAGAGUUAGAUAUUAUUUCUUCAUUAGUAUACAAAAUAUUUUUUAUUCCACUACUUUCCUUUUUUUAUCUAUCCUCGUACAACAAAAUUUUCUCCGUCUAUCGAGAAAAUACCCUCUCAUUCGGUAAGAACGGGCCAGAGACAGACGACAUGAGCUAUAAACUCAUCAGAGACGAGCUCCACUACAUAACUAUAUUCACUAGUAGAACUAAUAGGUGAAUCGUGUGAAAAACUUUUAGAGUUAACAAUUUUUCCCGCGGGGCCAGGGCCCUGCCCCUGCCCCUACGGGGAUGGGGGUGAAGGCAUUUUAGCCACGCGAGGAUUCGAGGCCUGAGCCAGGGCCGAGGAAGGGUACAGCCGGGAGGCCCCGAGGAAUCAUACCGUGAUGAAACUAUGAAAGCCCACGGUGCAGAACAAACCUCUAGCCCGAUCCUGCCGCCUCUCCCUCAUCUCUCACUCUGUCUGUACGGCUCUGUGCGUGGGCGAGCUGGCGGCGGCGGCGGUGACCCCGGCCGGCUUCAUCCUAUGAGUCCCUGAUCCCUUUCUCUCUCUGUGCACUGGAUUUGCGGGUUGAAUUAUUUUUUGUUGCAUUUGGACGAGUCAGCUCGAUUGGAUCAGGCCGGCUACCUCUGUCCUUUUCUUUGGCUUGUGCACUUUUUUAUUAGGUGGUGUGUGGGAUAAACGGACUUAUUUUUAGUUUCUUGUCCCAUCGAAUGUUUAGACGC
RNAcentral lists this long non-coding RNA (1436 nucleotides) under Oryza brachyantha (malo sina). Its description in RNAcentral is "long non-coding RNA (OBRA_LNC002682)". Lineage: Eukaryota; Viridiplantae; Streptophyta; Magnoliopsida; Poales; Poaceae. The record is from RNAcentral.